RNAcentral lists this long non-coding RNA (227 nucleotides) under Elaeis guineensis (African oil palm). RNAcentral describes it as "long non-coding RNA (EGUI_LNC009820)". The record is from RNAcentral. Lineage: Eukaryota; Viridiplantae; Streptophyta; Magnoliopsida; Arecales; Arecaceae.
GUCUUUAUCCUCUCACGCGGAUAAGACACGUUUUAAACUAUUUUAAAAGAGAUAGGGAGCUGGGGCGUGCGUAGAAAAAUUUUGAGAAAGAAAGUGGGGCAUGAGGAAGCCUUGUGCAUGAGGUGAAGGUCCAAAACCUUCCGAGAGAAAAAGAAAGAAAAGAAAGAAAAUUGGGCGCAGGGUUUUUGGUGUGUACCCUAGGAUUUCUAUCUAGGGUUCGGGAAGUG